GAUGAACGCUGGCGGCGUGCCUAAUACAUGCAAGUCGAGCGAACGGACGAGAAGCUUGCUUCUCUGAUGUUAGCGGCGGACGGGUGAGUAACACGUGGAUAACCUACCUAUAAGACUGGGAUAACUUCGGGAAACCGGAGCUAAUACCGGAUAAUAUUUUGAACCGCAUGGUUCAAAAGUGAAAGACGGUCUUGCUGUCACUUAUAGAUGGAUCAGCGCUGCAUUAGCUAGUUGGUAAGGUAACGGCUUACCAAGGCAACGAUGCAUAGCCGACCUGAGAGGGUGAUCGGCCACACUGGAACUGAGACACGGUCCAGACUCCUACGGGAGGCAGCAGUAGGGAAUCUUCCGCAAUGGGCGAAAGCCUGUCGGAGCAACGCCGCGUGAGUGAUGAAGGUCUUCGGAUCGUAAAACUCUGUUAUUAGGGAAGAACAUAUGUGUAAGUAACUGUGCACAUCUUGACGGUACCUAAUCAGAAAGCCACGGCUAACUACGUG
RNAcentral lists this ribosomal RNA (497 nucleotides) under uncultured bacterium. RNAcentral's name for it is "partial 16S ribosomal RNA". It matches the Rfam family "Bacterial small subunit ribosomal RNA", at positions 28 to 507 of the family's 1533-position model. The record is from RNAcentral.